AUUGAACGCUGGCGGCAGGCCUAACACAUGCGAGUCGAGCGGAUGAAGGGAGCUUGCUCCUGGAUUCAGCGGCGGACGGGUGAGUAAUGCCUAGGAAUCUGCCUGGUAGUGGGGAUAACGUCCGGAAACGGGCGCUAAUACCGCAUACGUCCUGAGGGAGAAAGUGGGGGAUCUUCGGACCUCACGCUAUCAGAUGAGCCUAGGUCGGAUUAGCUAGUUGGUGGGGUAAAGGCCUACCAAGGCGACGAUCCGUAACUGGUCUGAGAGGAUGAUCAGUCACACUGGAACUGAGACACGGUCCAGACUCCUACGGGAGGCAGCAGUGGGGAAUAUUGGACAAUGGGCGAAAGCCUGAUCCAGCCAUGCCGCGUGUGUGAAGAAGGUCUUCGGAUUGUAAAGCACUUUAAGUUGGGAGGAAGGGCAGUAAGUUAAUACCUUGCUGUUUUGACGUUACCAACAGAAUAAGCACCGGCUAACUUCGUG
RNAcentral lists this ribosomal RNA (483 nucleotides) under uncultured bacterium. Its description in RNAcentral is "partial 16S ribosomal RNA". It matches the Rfam family "Bacterial small subunit ribosomal RNA", at positions 30 to 507 of the family's 1533-position model. The record is from RNAcentral.